UCUCCGUUGGUGAACCAGCGGAGGGAUCAUUACAGAGUUUUCACAACUCCCAACCCUUGCGAACCGUACCCAUUCUGUUCUCGUUGCUCCCGGCUGGGCUGACGUGGGGGCCCGAAACGGCCUCCCCGCCCCGCCCGCCGGGGGCGGCGCGCCCGACCAAUCUUUAUAUCCCAACCACCAGAAAUCCUCUGACAAAACAAACAAAAUAAACAAUAUUUUCAACAAUAGAUCCUUUGGUUCUGCCAUCAAUGAAGAACGCAGCAGACCGGAAGAGCACAA
This 279-nucleotide unclassified non-coding RNA is filed under the name plant metagenome. RNAcentral describes it as "partial contains small subunit ribosomal RNA, internal transcribed spacer 1, and 5.8S ribosomal RNA". The record is from RNAcentral.